CCUAUCUCUCCUAGACCUCUCCUCGUCUCACUCCAUCUCUCCGUCCAGCUUAAAUUAGAACCCAAUUCUGCAUAUUGAAACUAUCUAUUUGAGCAUGUAAUUUCAGUCUUUAGGCUUUCAAUUUAUAUUUUUAUUUACAUUAAUCCAACAAAAACAAAAUGUAUUUCUCUCAUCUUCCCCUAAUUUUGGUCUGAUUUCCUCUAUUUCUCUACUCCCUCUAACAUACCCUAAAUUUUGACUUGUCGAUAAGUGGUUUGUGGCGGCAGCAGUGUAUUCCCUCCUCCUCUUCCUUUGUUGUCCCUAAAUUAAAGGUUAAUUUUUAAUUUUGUGUGUUUACUAUUAAGAAACCUAAUAUUAUUUGUACCUACCUGUGUGUAUUUUAUUGUAUAUCUUGUUCUGUAGUAAUUAGGAAAGCUUACAACGUGUUUGAUAAAUUGCCUACUCGAACUAUAUCUCUCUUCCCCCUGCUUUUAUUGCAGUUAAUCUUUCUUGGACUAUACAGAUGGCCUGUUAAAGCAUAUUGGUUACGGUCGAUAAUGUAUAUGGAUGAUAGUUUAUCCUUGUACACCUACACAUUUUAUUCAACCCUGCUUGUUCUUACUAAAUUAAUGCAUUGGGUUUUGUCGAGAAAGAAGUUAUUUCAUCUUCAGUGUCUCGUUUGAAAUAAAUUCCUUUGUUAAAACAUAAGUAAUUCAGCACAACUUUCCACUUUUUAAAUCAUUGUAUGUAAAUACUGAUGUAAUAGUAGAUCUCUUGCCCCUUAAUUUGUUAUUAGCCUACUGCAACUGGUAUAUUCUUAAAUACGUUUGUUUGUUGUGC
RNAcentral lists this long non-coding RNA (819 nucleotides) under Panax ginseng (ginseng). RNAcentral's name for it is "long non-coding RNA (PGIN_LNC000192)". Lineage: Eukaryota; Viridiplantae; Streptophyta; Magnoliopsida; Apiales; Araliaceae. The record is from RNAcentral.